Molecule: ribosomal RNA, 318 nt
Filed under: uncultured bacterium
Lineage: Bacteria
Description: bacterial SSU rRNA
Rfam family: Bacterial small subunit ribosomal RNA
Source: RNAcentral
UCAGGCCUAACACAUGCAAGUCGUACGAGAGUUUUUAACUCUGGUGGCGGACGGGUGAGUAACACGUGAGAAUUUGCCUUUAGGAGGGGGACAACAAUUGGAAACGAAUGCUAAUACCCCAUAUGCUUUCGAGUGAAAUGGAUUUUAUCCGCCUAGAGAGAAGCUCGCGGCUGAUUAGCUUGUUGGUAAGGUAAGAGCUUACCAAGGCGACGAUCAGUAUCUGGUUUGAGAGGACGAUCAGACACACUGGAACUGAGACACGGUCCAGACUCCUACGGGAGGCAGCAGUGGGGAAUUUUCCGCAAAGGGCGAAAGCCU